AUCAAAUAGUAUUUGGGUUAAAAUUUUUUCCAAUUAUGAGCGUUAGCCCCCAUCUAAGCCCUAGCCCCCGUUUAACUACCAACUAAAUUUGUGUGUGUGUGUGUGUGUUUUGCGCCACAACAG
Long non-coding RNA from Drosophila navojoa, 123 nucleotides. Lineage: Eukaryota; Metazoa; Arthropoda; Insecta; Diptera; Drosophilidae. The record is from RefSeq and is a predicted model, not a curated record.